Long non-coding RNA from Hemicordylus capensis (graceful crag lizard), 537 nucleotides. RefSeq lists it as uncharacterized. The transcript is spliced from 4 exons. The record is from RefSeq and is a predicted model, not a curated record. NCBI's taxonomy places the organism in Eukaryota, Metazoa, Chordata, Lepidosauria, Squamata, Cordylidae.
GUUAUACAUUCUUACCAUCCUAGGCCAUACUAUGUGCAGUGUCUAUCUCCAGCAAUAGAAUGCUUCUUUCUCAGUCCACACACACUCCUUUUGACAGACUUUCCUUUCCAAGUAUUUUUAUAUUAAGUAGAACUACGGUCAGAUGCAACGAGUGCAGAUCAGGAUGGAGUCUCCUGCCCCCAUCCAGAGUCAAGAGGUGUGGAGUCAAGGGAAGGUGCAGGUACAGCUUGGAGGAGAUUCCAAGAACCUUGCUUUUGAGGAGCUCAACAAAAGACUGAAAGAUCAUAUCUAAAAGCAGAUAUCCAGUUGCACCUCCUAAUAUAUGUUACUCUGCAACUUUGAGCCAAGAGAAUGUCAAGAACAAUGAGUCCAGUUCGUUACAGACACAGCAAUUUUGUCUAGAAGCAAUUUUUGUGUGGCUUCAAGCUCUCAUGCAUUACCAAGCAAAAAGCCUGAAAAUAGCUGAAAAUAACUGUUUAACUGUAAACCGCUCAGAGAUGCCAGUUUUGGGCGCUAUAGAAAUAUGUUAAAUAAAUA